This 182-nucleotide ribosomal RNA is filed under the name Sulfolobus sp. A20-N-G8. RNAcentral's name for it is "partial 16S ribosomal RNA". It matches the Rfam family "Bacterial small subunit ribosomal RNA", at positions 1358 to 1533 of the family's 1533-position model. Lineage: Archaea; Thermoproteati; Thermoproteota; Thermoprotei; Sulfolobales; Sulfolobaceae. RNAcentral also lists the same sequence under 1 other name. The record is from RNAcentral.
CGCGGUGAAUACGUUCCCGGGCCUUGUACACACCGCCCGUCACACCAUGGGAGUUGGUUUUACCCGAAGCCGGUGUGCUAACCGCAAGGAGGCAGCCGACCACGGUAAGGUCAGCGACUGGGGUGAAGUCGUAACAAGGUAGCCCUAGGGGAACCUGGGGCUGGAUCACCUCCUUUCUAAGG